AGAAUCAACGCUGGCGGCGUGCCUAACACAUGCAAGUCGCACGAGAAAGUGGAGCAAUCCAUGAGUAAAGUGGCGCACGGGUGAGUAACACGUGAAUUAUCUACCUUCGAGUGGGGAAUAACUGAGAGAAAUCUUAGCUAAUACCGCAUAACACUUACGAGUCAAAGCAGCAAUGCGCUUGGAGAGGAGUUCGCGGCCGAUUAGUUAGUUGGCGGGGUAAUGGCCCACCAAGACGAUGAUCGGUAU
Molecule: ribosomal RNA, 246 nt
Filed under: uncultured bacterium
Lineage: Bacteria
Description: partial small subunit ribosomal RNA
Rfam family: Bacterial small subunit ribosomal RNA
Source: RNAcentral